Molecule: ribosomal RNA, 433 nt
Filed under: uncultured bacterium
Lineage: Bacteria
Description: partial 16S ribosomal RNA
Rfam family: Bacterial small subunit ribosomal RNA
Source: RNAcentral
AACGAACGCUGGCGGCAGGCCUAACACAUGCAAGUCGAGCGAGGACUUCGGUUCUAGCGGCGGACGGGUGAGUAACGCGUGGGAAUGUGCCCUUCUCUACGGAAUAGCCCUGGGAAACUGGGAGUAAUACCGUAUACGCCCUAUUGGGGAAAGAUUUAUCGGAGAAGGAUCAGCCCGCGUUGGAUUAGGUAGUUGGUUGGGUAAUGGCCUACCAAGCCGACGAUCCAUAGCUGGUUUGAGAGGAUGAUCAGCCACACUGGGACUGAGACACGGCCCAGACUCCUACGGGAGGCAGCAGUGGGGAAUCUUAGACAAUGGGGGCAACCCUGAUCUAGCCAUGCCGCGUGAGUGAUGAAGGCCUUAGGGUUGUAAAGCUCUUUCAGCUGGGAAGAUAAUGACGGUACCAGCAGAAGAAGCCCCGGCUAACUCCGUG